GACGAACGCUGGCGGCGUGCUUAACACAUGCAAGUCGAACGGAAAGGCCCUGCUUUUGUGGGGUGCUCGAGUGGCGAACGGGUGAGUAACACGUGAGUAACCUGCCCUUGACUUUGGGGUAACUUCAGGAAACUGGGGCUCAUACCGGAUAGGAGCUCCUGCUGCAUGGUGGGGGUUGGAAAGUUUCGGCGGUUGGGGAUGGACUCGCGGCUUAUCAGCUUGUUGGUGGGGUAGUGGCUUACCAAGGCUUUGACGGGUAGCCGGCCUGAGAGGGUGACCGGCCACAUUGGGACUGAGAUACGGCCCAGACUCCUACGGGAGGCAACAGUGGAGAAUAUUGCACAGUGGGCGGAAGCCUGAUGCAACAACGCCGCGUGCGGGAUGACGGCCUUCGGGUUGUAAACCACUUUCGCCUGUGACGAAGCGUGAGUGACGGUAAUGGGUAAAGAAGCACCGGCUAACUACGUG
This 468-nucleotide ribosomal RNA is filed under the name uncultured bacterium. Its description in RNAcentral is "partial 16S ribosomal RNA". It matches the Rfam family "Bacterial small subunit ribosomal RNA", at positions 28 to 507 of the family's 1533-position model. The record is from RNAcentral.